AACCCGGGGCUCCGAGCCGGAGCCGAGUCUGCGCCUGGGGGCCCUUAUCUCCAGAGGCCAGAGCUUCCAUCCACCCAGGCAGCCUAGUGAUCUGUCCUCACUGCCCCCUCCCCACGCCCACCCUACUGGGCCAUGAAGGGGAUGGGGGCAAGCCCAGCUGACUGCUCCACCCUCUGCCCAGGAGGACCAUGCGGCAGUAGCAGCCAUGCUGCCCUUUCUGCUGGCCACACUGGGCACCACGGCCCUCAACAACAGCAACCCCAAGGACUACUGCUACAGCGCCCGCAUCCGCAGCACUGUCCUGCAGGGCCUGCCCUUUGGGGGCGUCCCCACCGUGCUGGCUCUUGACUUCAUGUGCUUCCUUGCACUGCUGUUCUUAUUCUCUAUCCUCCGGAAGGUGGCCUGGGACUAUGGGCGGCUGGCCUUGGUGACAGAUGCAGACAGGCUUCGGCGGCAGGAGAGGGACCGAGUGGAACAGGAAUAUGUGGCUUCAGCUAUGCACGGGGACAGCCAUGACCGGUAUGAGCGUCUCACCUCUGUCUCCAGCUCCGUUGACUUCGACCAAAGGGACAAUGGUUUCUGUUCCUGGCUGACAGCCAUCUUCAGGAUAAAGGAUGAUGAGAUCCGGGACAAAUGUGGGGGCGAUGCCGUGCACUACCUGUCCUUUCAGCGGCACAUCAUCGGGCUGCUGGUGGUUGUGGGCGUCCUCUCCGUAGGCAUCGUGCUGCCUGUCAACUUCUCAGGGGACCUGCUGGAGAACAAUGCCUACAGCUUUGGGAGAACCACCAUUGCCAACCUGAAAUCAGGGAACAACCUGCUAUGGCUGCACACCUCCUUCGCCUUCCUGUAUCUGCUGCUCACCGUCUACAGCAUGCGUAGACACACCUCCAAGAUGCGCUACAAGGAGGAUGAUCUGGUGAAGCGGACCCUCUUCAUCAAUGGAAUCUCCAAAUAUGCAGAGUCAGAAAAGAUCAAGAAGCAUUUUGAGGAAGCCUACCCCAACUGCACAGUUCUUGAAGCCCGCCCAUGUUACAACGUGGCUCGCCUAAUGUUCCUCGAUGCAGAGAGGAAGAAGGCCGAGCGGGGAAAGCUGUACUUCACAAACCUCCAGAGCAAGGAGAACGUGCCCACCAUGAUCAACCCCAAGCCCUGUGGCCACCUUUGCUGCUGCGUGGUGCGAGGCUGUGAGCAGGUGGAGGCCAUUGAGUACUACACAAAGCUGGAGCAGAAGCUGAAGGAAGACUACAAGCGGGAGAAGGAGAAGGUGAAUGAGAAGCCUCUUGGCAUGGCCUUCGUCACCUUCCACAAUGAGACCAUCACCGCCAUCAUCCUGAAGGACUUCAACGUGUGUAAAUGCCAGGGCUGCACCUGCCGCGGGGAGCCACGCCCCUCAUCCUGCAGCGAGUCCCUACACAUCUCCAACUGGACCGUGUCCUAUGCCCCUGACCCCCAGAACAUCUACUGGGAGCACCUCUCCAUCCGAGGCUUCAUCUGGUGGCUGCGCUGCCUGGUCAUCAAUGUCGUCCUCUUCAUCCUCCUCUUCUUCCUCACCACUCCAGCCAUCAUCAUCACCACCAUGGACAAGUUCAAUGUCACCAAGCCUGUGGAGUACCUCAACGUGAGGCCCCAUGCCCCUGUCACUUUCCAUGCUGGGUCACAACACACAGAUACCAGGCCCUGAUCCCUCUUCCACCUGCCCAGCCCAGCCCGUUCUGCUUGUUCCAACCCCGUGCCACCAACCAGCUCCCAAAAACCCCUGUGUGCACUUCCCUUGGGCUCCCUGCCACCUUCCCCCUCAGAGAGGCCACCCUCAGGUGUGCAGCACCUGGAGAAACACCCAGGGAAGAGAGAGAGCCUGCAUUUAGUCCUGAUCUCAGAGAAGUCCCCUUCCCUCACCCCUCAGUCUUUCUAACUGAAAAAAUGGAAAGGUUCGACUAG
RNAcentral lists this small RNA (1938 nucleotides) under Pongo abelii (Sumatran orangutan). RNAcentral describes it as "retained intron". The record is from RNAcentral. Lineage: Eukaryota; Metazoa; Chordata; Mammalia; Primates; Hominidae.